This 516-nucleotide long non-coding RNA is filed under the name Theobroma cacao (cacao). RNAcentral's name for it is "long non-coding RNA (TCAC_LNC005747)". Lineage: Eukaryota; Viridiplantae; Streptophyta; Magnoliopsida; Malvales; Malvaceae. The record is from RNAcentral.
UUAGACGGCGUCUAAGCACAGCCCCACCGGGGGCACUUGGCUUAAUGUUGGUCCGGUUCAAUACUGCAGUCGCAUGGUCCUACCUACAUGGACAGGCUUGGGCCAUGUGCCCGCUAAAUCAAUAUGAGAGCCAGACGUCGCCGUGGGUCUGACCGGUGGCUCAUCAAUUCCUUACCUAAAAUGAGCCGUCGAGUUAUCAACAUUAGCCACGGCCGGGGUGGUGGCCGGCCAAGUUUUUUUUUAAAAAAAAACUCAUAUUCUUGCAUUAUCCCACAUCGAAAAAAAAAAAUCGAAGAAGCUGAUGGACCGCAAAGUCCCACAUUGGAAAAACGAGAAAGAAAUUUCCCCAGAAGCUGAUGGCUUCCAAGCGUCAAAGCUCAUACACAAAAUAAAACCCAUUGUUAUCAAAGACUUGUUUCAAAAUAUUUUCAUAUACGGCCUUAAAGAGUGAAAACCCAGAGUUUCAGUUUCACAAAUUGAAAAGCCAAAACCAAAAGAAGGUGAUAUUGGUGGGAU